This is a long non-coding RNA of Cornus florida, 803 nucleotides long. RefSeq lists it as uncharacterized. The transcript is spliced from 3 exons. The record is from RefSeq and is a predicted model, not a curated record. NCBI's taxonomy places the organism in Eukaryota, Viridiplantae, Streptophyta, Magnoliopsida, Cornales, Cornaceae.
CACUCUCAAAAGGCAUCUAGUUUAGGGAUAACAGGGCAGCCUCAUCAAUCUUCAGUUGCAACAAUCGGUGGACGUAGUAUCUGGUUCUCUGCCUCUUCUCCUCUAUCUCUCUGUGAAUCUCUCUAUCUCGCUUUCUCUCUCUACAUUCCGGAUCUUCUUGUUGUAACCUGGGCUUAGAGUUACAGUGAGAACUCUUCUCUCUCUAACAUCGGUCUGGUUUCCCGUCAUUCUUUGAUUCUGGAAAAUCUUCUACAAAAUGGACCGUCCAUGGAUAUCUCAUUUUGGUUCAAAAUGUUUCGGUGAAUUUGAAUUUAAGUGAAAAUAACUAUUGAAAUUUCUCCUAAAUUUGUUUAAAUUUUUUGUUAUUUAUAGGGAUUAGGUUUAAUUUGAAGGUUUCUGAAAAACCUCUUGGUGGAAAUCAAACUCUUAAGCUCAAGAUGAUGUGGUCGGCGGGAGUAGUUUCUCUUCCUAUGAAUCAAACUCCCAUGCUCAAUGAUCUUCAUACAGCAGCACCACUGGAUCAGUAGUAUUCUAUCCUUCACAACCGUCGCCUGCAGUUUGAGAUGAUGUCAACAAUGGUGGGAGGAGCACCAGGGAUCAUAGCAACCGUUGCCUAUUGAACCACCAGCAUUUAAUUCUUCAUAUGAAGAAGACUAUAAUAUUUAGAUUGUAUCAGGAAUAGACCAUCAUCCUAUGACAAUGAUGUUGGGAUUUAUAUGCCCUGGCAUAGCAAAUUCCUAUCUGAAUUAUAGUGACAUAUGUUCCUGACAUAUCUGAAAUAUUUAUGAUUUAUAUAAUUGGUG